UAAGUGCGAUAAGCAAUGCGAAUUGCAGAAUUCCGUGAGUCAUCAGAUCUUUGAACGCAAAUGGCGCCAGUGGUCUUCCCACCGGCAUGCUUGUUUCAGUGUCGCUUUAAAAUUGUCCCACAUCUUAAUGUGAGUGAUUUAAUCUCUCGCUAAGUGUGAGCGGCAUUAUGCAUCCGCGUAGCUUCGGCUAUCUCAAUGCAGCAGUCGCACCUUGUGUGUGUCCUCAUUGGGAGUCGGUUGUAUAAAGCAGCAGAGUACUAAAAGUUCUCAUUUGCACCUGAAAUCAAGUAAGAGCACCCGCUGAACUUAA
Molecule: unclassified non-coding RNA, 310 nt
Filed under: uncultured fungus
Lineage: Eukaryota; Fungi
Description: sequence contains ITS1
Rfam family: 5.8S ribosomal RNA (bases 1-104)
Source: RNAcentral